GACGAACGCUGGCGGCGUGCUUAACACAUGCAAGUCGAACGGAAAGGCCCUGCUUUUGUUGCUUUCUCGUUUGGCGAACGGGUGAGUAACACGUGAGUAUCCUGCCCUUGACUUUGGGAUAACUUCAGGAAACUGGGGCUAUUACCGGAUAUAAGCUCCUGCUGCAUGGUGGGGGUUGGAAAGUUUCGGCGGUUGUGGAUGGACUCGCGGCUUAUCCGCUUGUUGGUGUGGUAGUGGCUUACCAAGGCUUUGACGGCUAGCCGGCCUGAGAGGGGUACCGGCGACAUGGGGACUGAGAGAGGGACCAGAAGCAUACGGUAGGCAGUAGGGGGGAAUAUGGCACAAUAAGCGGAAGCCAGAGGAGGAAACGCCGGGAGCGGGAUGACGGGCUACGGGGGGUGAACCGAUGUGGCAUGUGACGAAGAGGGAGUGACGGUAAUGGGUAAAGAAGCAACGGCUAACUACGUG
RNAcentral lists this ribosomal RNA (468 nucleotides) under uncultured bacterium. Its description in RNAcentral is "partial 16S ribosomal RNA". It matches the Rfam family "Bacterial small subunit ribosomal RNA", at positions 28 to 507 of the family's 1533-position model. The record is from RNAcentral.